GGAUUAGAUACCCUGGUAGUCCACGCCGUAAACGAUGAUAACUAGUUGUUCGGUCACUUGGUGACUGAGUGACGCAGCUAACGCAUUAAGUUAUCCGCCUGGGGAGUACGGUCGCAAGAUUAAAACUCAAAGGAAUUGACGGGGGCCUGCACAAGCGGUGGAGCAUGUGGUUUAAUUCGAAGCAACGCGCAGAACCUUACCAGCGUUUGACAUCCCGCGCUACCCAGAGAGAUUUGGGGUUCCCUUCGGGGACGCGGUGACAGGUGCUGCAUGGCUGUCGUCAGCUCGUGCCG
This 293-nucleotide ribosomal RNA is filed under the name uncultured bacterium. RNAcentral's name for it is "partial 16S ribosomal RNA". It matches the Rfam family "Bacterial small subunit ribosomal RNA", at positions 775 to 1067 of the family's 1533-position model. The record is from RNAcentral.